This 1179-nucleotide ribosomal RNA is filed under the name Triticum aestivum (bread wheat). RNAcentral's name for it is "partial small subunit ribosomal RNA". Lineage: Eukaryota; Viridiplantae; Streptophyta; Magnoliopsida; Poales; Poaceae. The record is from RNAcentral.
AUGGUCCCGCUUGGGCGCCUUCCGGCGCUGCCGCUAGCGCGUGGCUCCACGCGCCGCCGCCUCCUCGCCGCCGGGGCCUCUGCCGCCUCACCGCUCCCAUGGCCGGGCCUUCACACCUGGCGCCGGGCCCCUCCCAGCGACCUCCGCUCGUGGGGCCCCAACGGCCCCUGCGUCCCGAACACGGACAAGGCGGGCGCGCCAGAAGCCGGCGCCGGAGUCGGCGACGGCUCGUCCUUGGCCGAGAUGGGCGCCCUCGUGCUGUCCACCGCCGACCCCCUCGCCAAGGCGCACCUCACCCACGCCGCCUUCUCCCGGUGGGCGGCAGGCGGGCUCCCCGUGGGCCUCGCCCGGGCCCCGGACCACCCCGCCAGGCCGGAAAAGCCCCUCGCGGUAAAUGCUCCAUCCACCUUGUUGCUCUCUUCGUCGAGGCAUUUCAUCGAGCAGGUUGGGUGUGUGGUGCUCUUGCUGCUGCAGGUGACUCAGAAGGAGGUCCCCACGCACAAGGCGAUGGGGGUACCGCUAAACGCGUACAUGCUCCACAACCUGGCGCAUGUCGAGCUCAAUGCGAUCGACCUUGCUUGGGACACUGUGGUGCGGUUCUCGCCGCUCCGGGACACCCUGGGAGAUGGCUUCUUUGCGCGUGUGGCUGACGAUGAGAGCCGGCAUUUUCGGUGGUAUUCACAGCGGCUUGCCGAGCUUGGCUUCAGAUAUGGUGAUAUGCCUGUCCACAAUCUUCUGUGGAGGGAGUGUGCAAAAUCCUCAAGUGAUGUUUCUGCACGGAUGGCAGUUAUACCUCUAGUACAGGAAGCUAGAGGCCUUGAUGCUGGACCGAGACUAGUCCAAAAGUUAAUUGGCUUUGCGGACCAUAGAUCUGCAGACAUUGUGGCAAAAGUAGCAGAGGAAGAGCUUGCACAUGUUUCUGUAGGUUUAUAUUGGUUUCUGAAAGUGUGCGAAAUGAUGGGCCGUGUCCCUGGUGCUGCUUUUAGAGAUCUGAUAAAGGAGCAUGAUGUUGUAAUGAGGGGUCCAUUUAACUAUCAGUCUCGUGAUGAAGCUGGUAUACCUCGAGAAUGGUAUGAUGAGAUGCUUAAACCUGAAGUUGCAAGCAACCUUUCAGAGGUGCAUGAUAGGCUAGCAUGUGUUAUUGAGAUGGAGAAAGAGAAUGCUAAUUUGAAUGGCUAA